Molecule: long non-coding RNA, 329 nt
Organism: Sardina pilchardus (European sardine)
Lineage: Eukaryota; Metazoa; Chordata; Actinopteri; Clupeiformes; Clupeidae
Exons: 3
Source: RefSeq, a predicted model, not a curated record
GCAAUGGUCCAGCAGGAAUCAUUCACGGUUGAAAGGACCAAUAAAAUGGACAGUGAAAAUGCUCUAUCCAGCUGCUGGACCCUGGACCAACAGUCAAGAAAGUGAUUGGGAUCAGCCUCAACCUGAUGCAGUGUGAAGUCGGCGAAUUCUUUCCUGAUCAACUUUGUGCCGCAUUGGACGAACAUCUCCUCCCUAUGCGCUUAUGAUGAGGGGUCUUCAAGGACGCAGCCAGAGCUUGUCUACAUCGGCCAUCUGACGAGCCCAGCACGACAGUUCGUCAUUGGUGGUAAAAUGUUAAAGGAACACUUCACCGUUUUUUCAUAUUAAAC